This 97-nucleotide non-coding RNA is filed under the name Streptomyces sp. Its description in RNAcentral is "Glycine sequence". It matches the Rfam family "Glycine riboswitch aptamer". From Rfam's summary of the family: This family represents the bacterial glycine riboswitch. RNAcentral also lists the same sequence under 1 other name. Lineage: Bacteria; Bacillati; Actinomycetota; Actinomycetes; Kitasatosporales; Streptomycetaceae. The record is from RNAcentral.
UGACCCCGUGCGGGAGAGUCCUCCGGAGAACCGCCGGAGGCGCCGAAGGAGCAAAUCCUCCCCGGAAUCUCUCAGGCCCCCGUACCGCGCGGACGAG